Molecule: ribosomal RNA, 384 nt
Filed under: Triticum aestivum (bread wheat)
Lineage: Eukaryota; Viridiplantae; Streptophyta; Magnoliopsida; Poales; Poaceae
Description: partial small subunit ribosomal RNA
Source: RNAcentral
AUGAGUGCUGAAAGAAAGACAAGAUACAUUGCAAUGCGACGUCCAGAUUUACCUACUACAUCUGCGGCCAAUCAGUCUUUGCACAGUAGUGCAUCACCUGUGUCAACGAACAUGGCAGGACACACCUUCAAAUCUGUUGGUAAUUCAGUCCAUCUGCAGUUCACUUCACUUCUUAUAUCCGCCCAGGUUGAAUUUGAGUGCAUCACCACGCCUGCAACCUUUGCAGAUUCGUUGUCCGCCGAAAAUGCGUCAGCAGCUCGUGGCCCCACGUACAUUCGCAACAUCGAAACCCAUGGUAGUUAUCCCAACAACGGUCAUCUUUCAUUUUGUAAUCAUUCAUCAGAUAUUUAUAAUGAUUUGAAAAUAUUGCAGGUGCCUAUUUAA